Molecule: ribosomal RNA, 502 nt
Filed under: uncultured bacterium
Lineage: Bacteria
Description: bacterial SSU rRNA
Rfam family: Bacterial small subunit ribosomal RNA
Source: RNAcentral
AAUCAACGCUGGCGGCGUGCCUCAGACAUGCAAGUCGAACGCGAAAGUUCCCUUCGGGGAGCGAGUAGAGUGGCGUCCGGGUGAGUAACACGUAGGUAAUCUACCUUUGGGUGGGGAAUAACAACCGGAAACGGUUGCUAAUACCGCAUAAUGCAGCGGCACCGCAUGGUGACAGUUGUUAAAGCGGGGGAUCGCAAGACCUCGCGCCUAAAGAGGAGCCUGUGGCGGAUUAGCUAGNGGCAGGGUAACGGCCUACCAAGGCAACGAUCCGUAGCCGGCCUGAGAGGGCGGUCGGCCACACUGACACUGAAAUACGGGUCAGACUCCUACGGGAGGCAGCAGUCGGGAAUUUUGGGCAAUGGGCGCAAGCCUGACCCAGCAACGCCGCGUGAAGGAUGAAAUCCCUCGGGAUGUAAACUUCGCAAGAACGGAAGAAUAAGUCUGUGUGAUACCACAGAUGAUGACGGUACCGUUUGUAAGCUCCGGCUAACUCCGUGCCAGC